CGUGCCGGAAAGCAGAUGGGUGUGCUGAGGGCGCGAUGGUGCUGCUAACAACUGCGAAGCGUGGGCAGUGGUAGCUGCGAAACACCGCUGGAGCCAGAGAAAAGAGGCAGAAGUGUUCACGUCUAGCAAAAGUUUGUUUGUAGUUCAUGUGAGCUGAGUUAGCUGACAGUGUUCCCAGCAUCUGAGAAGUACAGCUUUUGUAACAAUCCUUAAAGAAGUGCCACCACCUCUAAAAUGAUUGUUCCCAAUAAGCCUUGUUACAGGAACCAGGAAGAAUAACUAUUUUGAUUUGGCACCUGAAGAACUUACAACCAUAAAUUACUCUCAUCUUAUGCAUUUAUUUGUUCACUGUGGAUUUUUGAAAGGCAAAUGUUUGUUAUC
Molecule: long non-coding RNA, 381 nt
Organism: Corvus hawaiiensis (hawaiian crow)
Lineage: Eukaryota; Metazoa; Chordata; Aves; Passeriformes; Corvidae
Exons: 3
Source: RefSeq, a predicted model, not a curated record